Molecule: ribosomal RNA, 460 nt
Filed under: uncultured bacterium
Lineage: Bacteria
Description: partial 16S ribosomal RNA
Rfam family: Bacterial small subunit ribosomal RNA
Source: RNAcentral
CCUACGGGAGGCAGCAGUGAGGAAUAUUGGUCAAUGGGCUUACGCCUGAACCAGCCAAGUCGCGUGAGGGAAGACUGCCCUAUGGGUUGUAAACCUCUUUUGUCAGGGAGUAACGCCGGCUACGUGUAGCCGGACUGAGAGUACCUGAAGAAAAAGCAUCGGCUAACUCCGUGCCAGCAGCCGCGGUAAUACGGAGGAUGCGAGCGUUAUCCGGAUUUAUUGGGUUUAAAGGGUGCGUAGGCGGAAUGCCAAGUCAGCGGUAAAAGCGCGGGGCUCAACCUCGCUCCGCCGUUGAAACUGGCGUUCUUGAGUGGGCGAGAAGUAUGCGGAAUGCGUGGUGUAGCGGUGAAAUGCAUAGAUAUCACGCAGAACUCCGAUUGCGAAGGCAGCAUACCGGCGCCCAACUGACGCUGAAGCACGAAAGCGUGGGUAUCGAACAGGAUUAGAUACCCUAGUAGUC